CCGUACACAAAAGCGCAUGUGCUGUGAGCUCGAUGAGUAGGGCGGGACACGUGAUAUCCUGUCUGAAUAUGGGGGGACCAUCCUCCAAGGCUAAAUACUCCUGACUGACCGAUAGUGAACCAGUACCGUGAGGGAAAGGCGAAAAGAACCCCGGCGAGGGGAGUGAAAAAGAACCUGAAACCGUGUACGUACAAGCAGUGGGAGCACCCUUUUGGGUGUGACUGCGUACCUUUUGUAUAAUGGGUCAGCGACUUAUAUUCUGUAGCAAGGUUAACCGAAUAGGGGAGCCGGAGGGAAACCGAGUCUUAACCGGGCGUUAAGUUGCAGGGUAUAGACCCGAAACCCGGUGAUCUAGCCAUGGGCAGGUUGAAGGUUGGGUAACACUAACUGGAGGACCGAACCGACUAAUGUUGAAAAAUUAGCGGAUGACCUGUGGCUGGGGGUGAAAGGCCAAUCAAACCGGGAGAUAGCUGGUUCUCCCCGAAAGCUAUUUAGGUAGCGCCUCGUGAAUUCAUCUCCGGGGGUAGAGCACUGUUUCGGCUAGGGGGCCAUCCCGGCUUACCAACCCGAUGCAAACUGCGAAUACCGGAGAAUGUUAUCACGGGAGACACACGGCGGGUGCUAACGUCCGUCGUGAAGAGGGAAACAACCCAGACCGCCAGCUAAGGUCCCAAAGUCAUGGUUAAGUGGGAAACGAUGUGGGAAGGCCCAGACAGCCAGGAUGUUGGCUUAGAAGCAGCCAUCAUUUAAAGAAAGCGUAAUAGCUCACUGGUCGAGUCGGCCUGCGCG
RNAcentral lists this ribosomal RNA (789 nucleotides) under Salmonella enterica. Its description in RNAcentral is "partial 23S ribosomal RNA". It matches the Rfam family "Bacterial large subunit ribosomal RNA", at positions 373 to 1165 of the family's 2925-position model. The record is from RNAcentral. Lineage: Bacteria; Pseudomonadati; Pseudomonadota; Gammaproteobacteria; Enterobacterales; Enterobacteriaceae.